GUCUGAAAAAAACCCCCCCCCCAAAAAAAAAAAAAAAAAGAAAGAAAUAUGGAGGACCAAAAUUCCUCAUGUAUGGGCAGAAACUAACCUCCCAGGAUUGGCAAAACAUCAGCCACCUCUAGUAAUUCAGCUGCUUAGCACAGCUGCCCCAAUCAGGAUAAGGCAAUAUCCCAUCAGCAUCCAAGCCAGACUGGGAAUUGCCAAACAUAUUAACAGGCUUCAAGAAGCAGGGAUUCCCAUCCCCUGCCACACUCCAUGGAACACUCUGCUCCUGUUGGUACCUAAACCUGGGACUAAUGAGUUCAGGCCUGUCUAGAACCUGAGGGAGGUCAACAAGCAGGUUGAGGUGGUUCAUCCUACUGUGCCUAACCCCUACACCCUCCUCAGUGAAUUAGGGCCUGAGAGACAAACCUACUCUCUGUUUCACCUGAAGGAUGCCUUCUUGCCAAUUGCAGUGAUUAGCCAGCCCAUCUUUGCUUUUGAAUGGACUGACCCUGAUGGGUCCUACAGCAGACAGCUUACCUGGAUACAGCUCCCACAAGGGUUUAGGAACUCUCCUACACUGUUUGAUGAGGCUUUGAGAUGAGACCUAACCAACUACAAAGAAACCCAACCAGAGGUCUCUUUUACAGUAGGUUGAUGAUAUACUUUUAACAGCAGACAAUCCUGAGGACUGUGAACAGGCCUCCGAGGCCUUGGUAAAGAAUUUGGAGCCUGUCAGCUAUUUGGGGUAUCAAAUCCACAAAGGAAAAAGGUCACUGGGCCCAGAAUGCAUCCAGGCCAUCCCCCAAGAGUAGAAGACAGAUACAAGAGUUCCUGGGGGCAGCAGGGUAUUGCAGACUUUGUAUUCCAGGCUUUGCAGAGAUAGCUAAGCCCCUGUAUGCUUCUACUGAAAGGGAAGGAAUUGAGUUUGUCUGGGGCCCAUCAGAGGAUCAAGCCUUUCAACAGCUUAAAAGGGCCCUCGGGCCCCUGCUCUAGUCUUAUCUGAUGUCACCAAGCCCUUCCUGCUCUUCAUACAUGAAAGUCAAGGAAUAGCCAAAGGAAUUUUGACUCAGACUUUGGGGCCAUGGAGGAGGCCAGUGGCCUACCUGUCCAAACAUUUAGAUCCAGUAGUCUCCGGAUUGCCCAGUUGCCUGAGGGCAAUAGCAGCCACUGCCUCCUGGUCAAAGAAGCCUCCAAGCUUACCCUAGGCCAAGACCUGCAAAUCAUUGGCCCCCAUGCAGUGGAGAGAAGCUGCUGCUCACCCUUCCUGACCAAUGGAUUUCCAACACACAACAUCACGUGGUACCAGUCUACUACUGCUAGACCCCCCCCACGUGUAACCUUCCUCAAGUCAGAGACUUUAAACCCUGCCACAUUCCUGUGGAACCAGACUGCAGAACACCUUUCUCAUGACUGUCUAAAGACAGUAAGUACUCUAACUGGGGUACAGAAAGACCUAAAGGAUCAACCUUUGCCCAAGGUGGAUGCCGAGCUACUCACUGAUGGCAGUAGGAAGGUGUUUGAUAUGCUGGGGCGGUAUUAGUAACUCCGACAGACAUCCUAUGGGCCCAGGUCCUAGGACAUGGCACGUCAGCACAGAAGGCUGAGCUUAUCACCUUAACUGAAGCACUUAGAUGGGCAAAGGGAAAAACCAUAAACAUCUGUACAGACAGCUGCUAUGCCUUUGCCACUGCACAUGUACAUGGGGCCUUCUAUAAAGAAAGAGAGUUUUUAACCUCCAAAAGAAAAGAUGUUAAAAAGGAAGCUGGGCAUGGUGGUACACGCCUUUAGUCCCAGCACUUGGGAGGCAGAGGCUGGUGGAUCUUUUGACUUCGAGGCCAGCCUGGUCUACAUAGUGAGUUCCAGGACAGCUGGGGCUACAAGGAGACCCUGUCUCAAAGACAAUAAAUAAAUAAAAAAUAGGAAAUUCUUGCUCUACUAUAGGCUCUGUGGCUCCUGAAGCAAGUGGCCAUUAUACAUUGUAAAGGGCACCAAAAGACAGAUUCAACAGAAGCGAAUGGCAAUGAUUUUGCUGACCAAACAGCAAAGGAGGCAGCCUUAUGGCCAGUACAAGCCUUAAAAGUUUUAACUGCCCUACUGACUCAGGUGUUACCUGAGACUCACUCUUACUCAACCUCUGACCUCAACACCAUCAAGGAUUUACAAGGAUAAAAGGAUGAUAAAGGAUGGUAUCUAAUGGAAGAUGGGAGUCCCAUCCUCCCAAGAGUUCUAGGAAGAGACUGGUUACAACAAUUACAUUCUGCAACCCACAUGGGAGUUACCAAAAUGACAGAAUUAGCAAAAUGGGAUUUGUACAUUCCCAAUUUAAGACAGAUGUGCCAGAACAUAGCCCGGAGAUGUCAGGCUUGUGCUCAAACUAAUCCUGCUUCUAAGUUUUCUCUUCCAGGACACAGACUCUGGGGUCAAACUACCAGGAGAAAUUUGGAAAUUGGACUUUACUGAGAUAACUGAUGGGGUCUAUGGUUACAAAUAUAUGGUUGUCCUAGUGGACACUUUUUCAGGAUGGUUUGAGGCAUUCCAAACUAGAUCUCAGGCCGCCCAGGUAGUAGCCAAAAAUCUAGUAAAUAAGAUUAUACCUCAAUUUGGCAUCCCUAUCAGUCUGGGGUCUGACAAUGGCCCGGCUUUCAUAGCCCAUAUCUCUAAAUCCUUAGCUUCUGUCCUCCAGAUAGACUGGAAGCUGCAUUGUGCAUAUCACGCCCAGAGUUCAGGUCAGGUAGAAAGAAUGAAUAGGACCCUCAAGGAGACUUUAAGUUAAUAACAGAGACUGAUGGUAACUGGAUAAGUACUUUUCCCUUCACCCUUCUCAAGGCUGGAUGCACCCCCUAUGCAAAGGGAAUUACUCCCUUUGAGGUGUUUUUUUGUUUUGUUUUGUUUCUGUCUUUUUUGAGACAGGGUCUCCCUGUAGCCCCAGCAGUCCUGGAACUCACUAUGUAGACCAGGCUGGCCUUGAACUCAAAGAGAUCCACCUGCCUCUGCCUCCUGAGUGCUGGGAUUAAAGGCAUGAGCCACCACACCUGGCUUGAGAUUUUGUUUGGACAACCCCCGCCUCUCAUUCCUCACUUAGGAGAGGAACACUUGGCCAAAAUAUUUAAUCACAGCGUUUUACAGUCAUUACAGGCUCUACAAAGUGCCCUAAGCCAGGUGCAAGGGCUAGUGUGGGAGACUCCUGAGUCCAGUUGCCCCCCCUCCCCCCAACUGAUGACUGAUCAGGCAGAUUUGGAACCUGGUGACUGGGUCUGGGUCCGCAGACAUCAAACACCUAACUUCGAACCCAAGUAGACGGGCCCGUACCCAAUCUUCUUGUUGACUCCACCUGCUGUCAGAGUUGCUGGACGGCCCACUGGAUACACUGCUCCCCGGUUAAAAGAACUCAUCUGGACCACACUCCCUGAACAUAGACAGUAAAAAGAACUUGACAGUCCCCUCAAGGUCAGACUGAUGAAAGAAUCUUAAUUUUUGUGUUUAUCUCCUGGGUAAUGGGAGCUAUUAAAGAAAAUGGAAACCAAAACCCCCACAUACCAGUCUCCUACAAAUGGAUAGUCAGGAGAGCUUCAGAUGGAAAACCCUAGCUGCCAAUACAACCACCAGCUACACCCCUACCCUCCAGUUUGACAUCUGUGAUCUGUUCAAACUUGAGAUGGUAUACACUGUACACACUUACUACCAUGCCACAUCUGUUAGGGAUUGGGCCUGUGGGUCUACUCCCUUUGAGAAGGGUCUACAGGACUUACAGGUUUAUGGAUGCCCAGCAGAUGGGAGUCCAGACUGUAACCUUGAAAAUAAAUGGCACUGUGGGACAUGGGGUUGUGAAACAUUUGCCUCCUGGAUUGAUCAAAGGAUAGAUGGAUUUCCCUCCAACAUGGCACAGCUGGAACUACCGUGGGGAAACUCAAACCCCUGGUCUUAAAAAUAUUAAAUGGGGGAGAGCAUAGUGGACACCUAGCAGCUGAUCACCAAGCCGCAGAACCUGAAUGACGGCCCAGCCACUUCCUAGAGAUCGACAUGAGCAAUCCACAGACUGUGGGGGUCAGCCAGGGCUGCUUCACCACCUACGAGAUCAGGGUCAAGACAAACCUUCCCAUCUUCAAGCUGAAAGAAGCUACUGUUAGAAGAUACAGUGACUUUGAAUGGCUGUGGAGUGAAUUGGAAAGAGGAAGCAAGGCUGUAGUUCCCCCACUCCCUGGGAAAGUGUUUUUGUGGCAGCUUCCUUUUAGAAGAGAUGAUGGAAUGUUUGAUGACAAUUUUAUUGAGGAAAGGAAGCAAGGACACUGGUCAUCCUUUGGCACAGAAUGAACGUUGUCUUCAUAUGUUUUUGCAAGGUGAAAUAAUAGAUAAAAGCUAUACUCCGUCUAAAAUAAGACAUGCCUGAAUUUGGCAAGAAGAGGCAGAAAUGUGACUAUUAAUGACUCACAUGCACUGGUGAAGAAGUAACUAACUUGGCACGCUGCACAGAAACUGGUAUACGCUCCCAGGAUACUUAGACUCAUUUUCCUUCUGUGUUGUGUUGGCAGUUGACAAGAAGUUAAUUUGCUUUAGUGAGAAGUCCCUUACUGUAUCCCUCAUUGCAGCCUUUCUCCUGUUGUCUCCGUGUGCACACUAUAGUCUCACAAGCCAUCCCAUAGAACCUGCAGUAUCCUAACUAAAGUUGCCGACUUGAUCUUU
This is an RNA transcript of Nannospalax galili (Upper Galilee mountains blind mole rat), 4665 nucleotides long. It is a transcript of the gene named sorting nexin-3 pseudogene, with no coding region annotated. The record is from RefSeq and is a predicted model, not a curated record. The transcript has a single exon. NCBI's taxonomy places the organism in Eukaryota, Metazoa, Chordata, Mammalia, Rodentia, Spalacidae.